Molecule: unclassified non-coding RNA, 2992 nt
Filed under: Homo sapiens (human)
Lineage: Eukaryota; Metazoa; Chordata; Mammalia; Primates; Hominidae
Description: nuclear pore complex interacting protein family member A1 (ENSG00000281994.1)
Source: RNAcentral
CGGAGACUCUGGUGUCCCUGAGGGUCCACACUGUGGAUGACAUCCAGCAGAUCGCUGCUGCGCUGGCCCAGUGCAUGGGGCCCAGCAGGGAGCUCGUAUGCCGCUCGUGCCUGAAGCAGACGCUGCACAAGCUGGAGGCCAUGAUGCGCAUCCUGCAGGCAGAGACCACCGCGGGCACCGUGACGCCCACCGCCAUCGGAGACAGCAUCCUCAACAUCACAGGAGACCUCAUCCACCUGGCCAGCUCAGACGUGCGGGCACCACAGCGCUCAGAGCUGGGAGCCGAGUCACCAUCGCGGAUGGUGGCGUCCCAGGCCUACAACCUGACCUCUGCCCUCACGCCCAUCCUCACGCGCUCCCGCGUGCUCAACGAGGAGCCCCUGACGCUGGCGGGCCGCUACCUGUCUGAGGAACCCGAGCCCUACCUGGCAGUCUACCUGCACUCGGAGCCCCGGCCCAAUGAGCGCAACUGCUCGGCUAGCAGGAGGAUCCGCCCAGAGUCCCUCCAGGGUGCCGACCACCGGCCCUACACCUUCUUCAUUUCCCCGGGGACCAGAGACCCAGUGGGGAGUUACCGUCUGAACCUCUCCAGCCACUUCCGCUGGUCGGCGCUGGAGGUGUCCGUGGGCUUGUACACGUCCCUGUGCCAGUACUUCAGCGAGGAGGACGUGGUGUGGCGGACAGAGGGGCUGCUGCCCCUGGAGGAGACCUCGCCCCGCCAGGCCGUCUGCCUCACCCGCCACCUCACCGCCUUCGGCACCAGCCUCUUCGUGCCCCCAAGCCAUAUCCGCUUUGUGUUUCCUGAGCCAACAGCGGAUGUAAACUACAUCGUCAUGCUGACAUGUGCUGUGUGCCUGGUGACCUACAUGGUCAUGGCCGCCAUCCUGCACAAGCUGGACCAGUUGGAUGCCAGCCGGGGCCGCGCCAUCCCCUUCUGUGGGCAGCGGGGCCGCUUCAAGUACGAGAUCCUCGUCAAGACAGGCUGGGGCCGGGGCUCAGGUACCACGGCCCACGUGGGCAUCAUGCUGUAUGGGGUGGACAGCCGGAGCGGCCACCGGCACCUGGACGGCGACAGAGCCUUCCACCGCAACAGUCUGGACAUCUUCCAGAUCGCCACCCCGCACAGCCUGGGUAGCGUGUGGAAGAUCCGAGUGUGGCACGACAACAAAGGGCUCAGCCCUGCCCGGUUCCUGCAGCACAUCAUCGUCAGGGACCUGCAGACGGCACGCAGCACCUUCUUCCUGGUCAAUGACUGGCUUUCGGUGGAGACGGAGGCCAACGGGGGCCUGGUGGAGAAGGAGGUGCUGGCCGCGAGUCACGCAGCCCUGUUGCGCUUCCGGCGCCUGCUGGUGGCUGAGCUGCAGCGUGGCUUCUUUGACAAGCACAUCUGGCUCUCCAUAUGGGACCGGCCGCCUCGUAGCUAUUUCACUCACAUCCAGAGGGCCACCUGCUGCGUUCUCCUCAUCUGUCUCUUCCUGGGCGCCAACGCCGUGUGGUACGGGGCUGUUGGAGACUCUGCCUACAGCACGGGGCGUGUGUCCAGGCUGAACCCGCUGAGCGUCGACACAGUCGCUGUUGGCCUGGUGUCCAGCGUGGUUGUCUAUCCCGUCUACCUGGCCAUCCUCUUUCUCUUCCGGAUGUCCCGGAGCAAGGUGGCUGGGAGCCCGAGCCCCACACCUGCCGGGCAGCAGGUGCUGGACGUCGACAGCUGCCUGGACUCAUCCGUGCUGGACAGCUCCUUCCUCACGUUCUGAGGCCUCCACGCUGAGCAGGCCUUUGCUGGACAGAUGAAGAGUGACUUGUUUCUGGAUGAUUCUAAGAGUGACCUUGAGGAACCCUGGGAGCUCAGGAAGGAAGGAGCGCCCAGAAGCAGGGACAGGGAGCUGGUUGGGGAGGACCAGAAAUCAGGUUAUCAAUACUCUGGCUGACCAUCGUCAUCGUGGGACUGACUUUGGUGGAAGUCCUUGGUUACUUAUCAUUACUGUGUUUCUGAGAAGUUAUAAAUUUGCCAUCUCCCUCUGCACAAGUUACCUUUGUGUGUCUUUCCUGAAGACUAUCUUCCCGUCUCAAAAUGGACAUGAUGGAUCCACGGAUGUACAGCAGAGAGCCAGGAGGUCCAACCGCCGUAGACAGGAAGGAAUUAAAAUUGUCCUGGAAGACAUCUUUACUUUAUGGAGACAGGUGGAAACCAAAGUUCGAGCUAAAAUCCGUAAGAUGAAGGUGACAACAAAAGUCAACCGUCAUGACAAAAUCAAUGGAAAGAGGAAGACCGCCAAAGAACAUCUGAGGAAACUAAGCAUGAAAGAACGUGAGCACGGAGAAAAGGAGAGGCAGGUGUCAGAGGCAGAGGAAAAUGGGAAAUUGGAUAUGAAAGAAAUACACACCUACAUGGAAAUGUUUCAACGUGCGCAAGCGUUGCGGCGGCGGGCAGAGGACUACUACAGAUGCAAAAUCACCCCUUCUGCAAGAAAGCCUCUUUGCAACCGGGUCAGAAUGGCGGCAGUGGAGCAUCGUCAUUCUUCAGGAUUGCCCUACUGGCCCUACCUCACAGCUGAAACUUUAAAAAACAGGAUGGGCCACCAGCCACCUCCUCCAACUCAACAACAUUCUAUAAUUGAUAACUCCCUGAGCCUCAAGACACCUUCCGAGCGUCUGCUCUAUCCCCUUCCACCCUCAGCGGAUGAUAAUCUCAAGACACCUCCCGAGUGUCUGCUCACUCCCCUUCCACCCUCAGCUCUACCCUCAGCGGAUGAUAAUCUCAAGACACCUGCGGAGUGUCUGCUCUAUCCCCUUCCACCCUCAGCGGAUGAUAAUCUCAAGACACCUCCCGAGUGUCUGUUCACUCCCCUUCCACCCUCAGCUCCACCCUCAGUGGAUGAUAAUCUCAAGACACCUCCCGAGUGUGUCUGCUCACUCCCCUUCCACCCUCAGCGGAUGAUAAUCUCAAGAAACUAAGGAAGAAUAAAUAAAUAAUAUAAAAAUAAAAUGAAUA